CAAAAAAUGUCAUAGUAUAGUAAGGCGUCAAAAGUGGUCAAAAAAUGUCAUAGUAUAGUAAGGCGUCAAAAGUGGUCAAAAAAUUUCAUAGUAUAGUAAGGCGUCAAAAGUGGUCAAAAAAUGUCAUAGUAUAGUAAGGCGUUAAAAUUGGUCAAAAAAUGUCAUAGUAUAGUAAGGCGUCAAAAUUGGUCAAAAAAUGUCAUAGUAUAGUAAGAUGUCAAAAACCUUCAAAAAAUGUCAUAGUAUAGUAAGGCGUCAAAAUUGGUCAAAAAAUGUCAUAGUAUAGUAAGGCGUCAAAAUUGGUCAAAAAACGUCAUAGUAUAGUAAGGCGUCAAAAUUGGUCAAAAAAUGUCAUAGUAUAGUAAGAUGUUAAAAUUGGUCAAAAAAUUUCAUAGUAUAGUAAGAUGUCAAAAACCUUCAAAAAACGUCAUAGUAUAGUAAGGCGUUAAAAUUGGUCAAAAAAUGUCAUAGUAUAGUAAGGCGUUAAAAUUGGUCAAAAAAUGUCA
This is a long non-coding RNA of Lates calcarifer (barramundi perch), 506 nucleotides long. RefSeq lists it as uncharacterized. The record is from RefSeq and is a predicted model, not a curated record. The transcript is spliced from 2 exons. Lineage: Eukaryota; Metazoa; Chordata; Actinopteri; Centropomidae.